UACGUAGGGUGCGAGCGUUGCCCGGAUUUAUUGGGCGUAAAGGGCGCGUAGGUGGCUCGGCACGUCCGUUGUGAAAACUCGAGGCUCAACCUCGAGACGUCGGUGGAAACCGUAUGGCUAGAGUCCGGAAGAGGAGAGUGGAAUUCCUGGUGUAGCGGUGAAAUGCGCAGAUAUCAGGAAGAACACCCGUGGCGAAGGCGGCUCUCUGGGACGGUACUGACGCUGAGACGCGAAAGCGUGGGGAGCGAACAGG
Molecule: ribosomal RNA, 253 nt
Filed under: uncultured bacterium
Lineage: Bacteria
Description: partial 16S ribosomal RNA
Rfam family: Bacterial small subunit ribosomal RNA
Source: RNAcentral